Non-coding RNA from Solanum lycopersicum (tomato), 188 nucleotides. The record is from RefSeq and is marked provisional. Lineage: Eukaryota; Viridiplantae; Streptophyta; Magnoliopsida; Solanales; Solanaceae.
GAUCUGUGCUAUGGAAAUAUUGAUGGCGUUGAAAGGGAUGAGAGUAUUGGGAAGUUGUUGGUUGUGGGUGGGGUGGAAAGAUUUGAUAAAUCUAAUUUUAAAGAGAUUAAAUCUUUCCUACUCCUCCCAUACCCAUGACUUCCACUAGCUUCUCCCUUUCUUCAUUUGUCAUCUCCUUUGCUAAGUUC